UGUCCAACGGUAACUGACUGAGAGAGAAGAAAAGAGAUGCUCUCCUUAGCUAGUCAGUGGACUGGACUUUUAACUGUUUGCUGAUGAAAUGUUGACGGAGUUCGGUUUUUACAUUUGUUGAUAAUGUUAAGAGGUUAGCCAAGGAGUAACGUUACCGUAUAAACGGUACAUUUAAAGCGUGUGCGUACGAGCGCGCGCGUGUGUAUGUGUGCUACGUCUGUUAGCUCCGUCAGUUAGCUAGGUGUGUGUGUGUUAGCUAGGUCCGUUAGUGUGUGUGCGCGUGUGCGUGAGCUAGGUCCGUAGCGUGUGUGCGUACAUGUGUAUGCGUGCGUGCGUCAGCUAGGUCUGUUAGCUUCGUCUGUUAGCUCGGUCUGUUCGGUAAAUUUCAUCUCUCGUUUUUCUGCUGUUAGCUGCUGAGAGGAAACUGACGACCAAAGCGGGCCAGACAGAAAACACACGGAAAGAUUUCUGUGCAGAGCAGAGAAAGUGUACCUCCAAGGUUCAGGUGAGAAGGACUGGUGAGAUGGUCCAAGGAGAAAAUGAGUCCCUCAGUCCACAUGUGGCAUCAUUCAGCUGGGACAGAACAGCUAAUACCAGAUGUCGACUCUCGGCCAGGAAGAGGAUUCCAUCCCAGAAAGAAGUCUCUAAUUCAAGAUGAGGAAUGCAGUUAAACAGCCCAGUAAUGUUUCUGUGAGUAUUUUUGAACAGAAUCAACUUUACUAGGACGUCUUUGUCAGCAGAGGACAAAUGAAAAGCAAUAUUAGACUUGCAAGCAUUACAUUGUUUUGAUCAGCAACUCCUUCCUUUUAUUGUUUUUUGUUCCUAUAUAUGUGCUGCUACAGGUACAGUCAUUUUAACAAUAAAUCAUUUUAAAAUUAUGGGACGACUGCAGAGAGCGACUCUGAUCCAUCGCACCGAGUCCGAUGUUGGCUCUGCUGUCGAUACACAGAAGUACCUGGUCAUCAGGUUGGCUCAGUUUGAUCAGCAGUUGCUCAGAUAAAAAAACUGGCGGAAAAGUAGAGACACACAAUGACAAAGAAUUAGACAAACGACACGAAACAAAACAACAAUAAUGAUGCACAAAAUGACGUUUUAAAGAAACCGUUUUAAAGUUUGAAAAUGUGGAGAAAAAAAUCUAUUUUCACUUCUGAUGUCCACAUUUUCAACAAUUGUGGGAAACCUUUGGGGAAAAUCAUUCAGCGGAAAUGAAGUGCGUGAAAGGCUGGUUUUUCUGGAAAUUCUCCAUGAGGGCCCGGGUGACUGCAGAUGAAACUGCAGAUUUGUAGGAACCUGUGAUAAUGAUUUGUCCUUCUACUCCUUGUUUUGGGAUACUGAUAGAAGUCUUUGUGUCAAACUCCAGACGUUUACGUGUUUGUCCUUUUUUCCCAAUCAUAUAUUUGUAAAGAACACUUGAGACGUCAAUCUGUCUGUUCAAUGAAGUGGGUGUCACAGGUUUCAUCUGUUGGAAAAACGUUUUUGGACACCUUUAAAAUUUUACACAUUGUCAAAUACUAUCAUGAAAUAUCUGUGGAAAUAAUCUGUGUUUCAAACAAAUACAAAUCAUUCUUUUUUGUUUAGUGUUUACAAGGAAAACUAACAAAACUAAAUUCUACCAAAAUGACCCAAAUAUCCAAAUUUCUUGUUUUUAUGGAAUCAAUCAAUUUUAAGUUUUUAGUGUCUUUUUUAAGGAUUUGUUUAGUUUUAUGGCUGUGAUUGUAAUAAUAAUAAUAACAAGACGACAUGGUCAUCAAUAUCCCCCGCCACAUGUGAUGUCUAUGAGUCUAUAUCCAAAAUAGUGAUCAAGGGCCAUAACUCUGUUAAAUAUUAUCACACAGGUCUCAUUUUCGAACUUGAUCAAGGUGUCCAUGGUGUGAAGCUACACACUAAAUUUCGUAAUCCUAGCUGUAAUAGUUUCCGAGAAAAGCUGUCCCCUUCAUGACGGACACAUGGAUGGACAGACGGAGGCCAAACCUCUAUCCCCCUUUUCCACUUCGUGGAGGUGGGGGAUAAUAAUGCAUCAAAUUUAUAUAGCGCUUUUUUAGUCACUCAAAGAUGUUUUACAAGAUGGACAGGGGACACACACAAAAAAAAAAAAAAAAAUUCAGCAAAAGCCAAAUCGAACAAGUGGGUUUUUAGAAGAGUUUUGAAUAUCGAAAGUGAGUCAGAGUUGCGGAUGGGAGGUGGAAGUGAAUUCCAGAGUUGGGGGGCAGCGGCUGCGAAGGUUCGGUACCCCAAAGUCCGGUGCUUAGUACGGAUGAUGGGCGUCAGGAGGUUUGAGUCUGCAGAGCGAAGGUGACAAGAGGGUCGGUGUUGUUGGAGGAGGUCAGAGAGGUAAGAAGGGGGCAGGUUAUGGAGGGACUUGUACGUGAGGAGGAGGAGUUUGAAAUGGAUACGAUAUUGAACCGGGAGCCAGUGAAGCUGUUUGAGGAUGGGGGUGAUGUGCUCCCUGGAGCGGGUGUGAGUGAGAAGGCGAGCAGCAGAAUUCUGGAUAUAUUGUAAUUUUUGCAGUUGAGUGGAGGGAAGACCAAAGAGAAGGCUAUUGCAGUAGUCAAGUCUGGAGGUAAUGAAAGCAUGAAUGAGUAUUUCAGCAGUGGUGAGGGAGAGUGAGGGGCGGAGACAUGCAAUGUUGCGGAGGUGAAAGAAAGACGUUUUGGUGACGUACUAAAAUACAUCACUAAAAUAAAUCAAUAAAGACCUAAGAGUGACUCCUAAUGCAAUAUUUCAAAAAUGUAUGGGGUGUCCGAAAACGUAUUUUCACUGCUUUAUAUCUGUAAGACACAUUCUGAGAUGUCCCCUGAAGGGUCUACAGAAUAACCUUCAGGGAACAUUAUCAGAACAUUCCCUCAGGACACAAAGAAUAUUCCUCUGUUGCUUUACCCCCAGGGCUAGUCUUAUCUGAGGAGUCAUUUUGAUCAGUAUUGUUACUUAUGCAUAAGAUUGACUAUUUUAAAAUGUUGUCAUGCUCUCACUUAAACUGCAACAUAAAUGUUGGAUGAUAAAUACAGGAAUGAUGUCUGAUUUUUUUAAAAACUGUUUAAUUAUUACCAAUUAAUUUUGCAUUGAUGGGCCUUGGACAAAGGUAGUGUCUACAGAUACACUUUCCAUUUGCCAGACAGAUGCGGACCCGUACGCGAGUCAAGAAGCUGCUAACCACUGCAAACUGUUGAAAGGUAAGCAAAGGUUAAGGUUAGGGUUAGUGUUAGGGUCAGGUUUAGGGUCCGUACCUGUAGUACCGAUGCUACGGGUCCGUACCGCUAGCGUCUACCGGGAGUCACGUGACCAGAUCUCGCGUAUCUGAUUGGCAAAUGGCAAGUGCCGUACCCGUAGUCCACAGGCUACGGGUACGGGUCCGUACCUCUAGCAACAACCUUGGACAAAAGUCUCAACUUCAGUAUAACUUCAUUAUAUGGUUUUGUUUAAAUUUCUGACCCAACAAUGUCAGAUCAGCAGGACUACAAUAACAACACAUUCAUAGGGUGGAUUUCUUCCCUAAUUAUCUCUCCUCCUACAAUUUCACAUAUUACAACAAUAAUGCAUGACUCUAAUGUAAUUACUUAAAAAAGGUUUGUGUAUAUGUUUUCUCUAAAAAAAAACACAAAGUUUUGUUUUGUACUGUCAGAAUAUGACGUCAACGUUCCUUAAAACCUCUUCUUUUGAUUUCCUCCCACCAGUAAAAUCAUCUCAAUGCUAUCUAAAAUGAGUGAGCAUCAUCCAUCAAAACACCUGAAAUGAAAGUGACUGCAUCUAAUGGACAGGAGUGGAAUUUAUUGUUCAGCCUAAUCUUCUUAUGUGGAGUUAUCCCACCCUAAUAUUCAAGUACGUGUCUGCUGUAAACACAAGUAACAUGUAAACAUUUGGUCAAUAGAGGUGGGUACUCUGCAAUGAAAACACAGCUACAAUGAUCAGUCAGUGAACCGAUUAGCUGUCAACCAGAGCUAUUUUUGUGAUCGAUUAGUCAGUUUGAGUACACUUUUAAGGAAAAAUUUCUCUGAUUACAGCUUCUUUAAUGGCUGGAUUCUCUCUACUUCUAUGAAAAUAAGCAGCUUGUAGAAAACACGAUUCAAGGGGAUGUCACCUUGAGCUGUGGAAAACACCGAUACAUCACAUUUUUCAUCUUUUUCUGAAAUUUUAAAGACCAAACAACAAAUCUGUUUAUCAAGAAAAACAGUCAACACAUCAAUCAACAAGUAAAAUUCUGAGAAGUUGCAGCUCUGAUACAGACCAUGCACUUUUUCAAUGCAUUCAUUUACAUUUCACAUGUUGCAAUUUGUAACGUGAUUAAAAUAAUUGAUAUUGACUUAAGAACAAGUCCAGGGUAGACUGCACAAUGAUUCAGCAAAUAGUAUAUUUCAACACAGAACUAAUACAGUCGAAAAAAAAUCAUUUUUUAAAUACUUAAACAGUUGUAACUUUCACUUUGGAGUUUAAUCUACUAAUACAAACAUCUUUGCAUAAUUAGAGGAGAGCAAAUGCAAAGGAUCUCAGUGAGUGAAAGAUGAUAAAGCAUGAGGUAAAAGAUUGAAAUAUAUGUGAGAGAAUAUUAAAAGAUUUUCUCAUGACAUAAACACGCAGGAAAACACGGUCAUCAAUAAGUAGCCCUGAUGUGUGUCAUAAUGGAAACAUUUGAGACUGGUUGCACAGGUAGGGUUACUGUAUGAUUUUGUGUGUGUGUGUGUGUUUAAACAUUUAAACUUCAUUCUUAAUUUGUUCUGUUUUUGACAACUAUUGAGAAUGUCACAGCGCUUCAUUAAUCACAAAGAUGAAGAAACAUCAAAGCCAGAGAAAACACUGGUCCUGAAUGACAAAAUGUUGUUUCUUCAGAUGUGUCUUAGUGUGACCUUGGAUUGUUCUUAUCAAGACUUCAUUGUAAACUGGGCAAAUGUUCUUCUUACACAGUGUUUUAACCAUAGGUGAGUGGUUUGUGCUCAGAAACUGAAAGUUUGUCCGACAAUACGCACGACUUAAAACAAUCCUUGUAUCAAAAUCUAGCUGGUUGUUAUUUUUAUUUUAGGUUUUGUGUUGCAUAUCCCCAAAAUAUGUAUGAAAUUAACCCAUUAGAACCCAGACCCAUUUUUCCUUAAAGGACUUAAUGAGUUAAGGUCAGACAUAAGGCUUUACAAGGAAGAGACUGGGGCACUCAAAGUGCUUGUUACACUGGUGUAACCGUGGGUUCUUAUGGGUUAAAUUCCCUCAUGGCAAGUCAGAGGACAGGUAAUACUCCAGCAGAGAAAGCAUGGAAGAACUGUACCUGCUGCACAAACACUGUGGGGAAUGUAGCGUCAAUAAAUCUAUCACAUACAGCGCCCUCCAUAAUUAUUGGCACCCCUGGUUAAGAUGUGUUGAAAACCUUAAAAUAAAUUCAGUUUUCAUUGCAGAAGCCUACUCUCACACUGGAAAUUGUAGAAAAAUGUAUUAUAGGAGAAGAUUAGGUGCUGUUUUGUUGGCAAAAGGCGGUUGUACAAAGUGUUAACAUCAGCGGUGCUAAUAAUGGUGGCACACAUGAUUUGAUGUAAAAGAAUUAUUUCUUAAUGUGAUUUUUUUUCCUCACUGAAUGAAUGCACUCGAAUUAAAGGUUGGAUUUUCCUCUUUUUUUAUUGUGGUCCUAUAUUGUUUAGAAAAAAAUGAAUUUAUAGAAGCUAAAGAACACGUCUUAACCAGGGGUGCCAAUAAUUAUGGAGGGCGCUGUAGAAAACAU
This is a long non-coding RNA of Acanthochromis polyacanthus (spiny chromis), 5695 nucleotides long. RefSeq lists it as uncharacterized. The record is from RefSeq and is a predicted model, not a curated record. The transcript is spliced from 3 exons. NCBI's taxonomy places the organism in Eukaryota, Metazoa, Chordata, Actinopteri, Pomacentridae.